RNAcentral lists this ribosomal RNA (2210 nucleotides) under Nissabacter archeti. Its description in RNAcentral is "partial 23S ribosomal RNA". It matches the Rfam family "Bacterial large subunit ribosomal RNA", at positions 1 to 2230 of the family's 2925-position model. Lineage: Bacteria; Pseudomonadati; Pseudomonadota; Gammaproteobacteria; Enterobacterales; Yersiniaceae. The record is from RNAcentral.
GGUUAAGCGACUAAGCGUACACGGUGGAUGCCUAGGCAGUCAGAGGCGAUGAAGGGCGUGCUAAUCUGCGAUAAGCGUCGGUAAGCUGAUAUGAAGCGUUAUACCCGACGAUACCCGAAUGGGGAAACCCAGUGUGAUACGUCACACUAUCAUUACAUGAAUACAUAGUGUAAUGAGGCGAACCGGGGGAACUGAAACAUCUAAGUACCCCGAGGAAAAGAAAUCAACCGAGAUUCCCCCAGUAGCGGCGAGCGAACGGGGAACAGCCCAGAACCUGAAUCAGUUUGUGUGUUAGUGGAAGCGUCUGGAAAGUCGCACAGUAAAGGGUGAUAGUCCCGUACACAAAAGCACACUAAUUGUGAGUUCGAUGAGUAGGGCGGGACACGUGACAUCCUGUCUGAAUAUGGGGGGACCAUCCUCCAAGGCUAAAUACUCCUGACUGACCGAUAGUGAACCAGUACCGUGAGGGAAAGGCGAAAAGAACCCCGGCGAGGGGAGUGAAAUAGAACCUGAAACCGUGUACGUACAAGCAGUGGGAGCCUUGAUUUAUCAGGGUGACUGCGUACCUUUUGUAUAAUGGGUCAGCGACUUAUAUUUUGUAGCAAGGUUAACCGUAUAGGGGAGCCGUAGGGAAACCGAGUCUUAACUGGGCGUCAAGUUGCAAGGUAUAGACCCGAAACCCGGUGAUCUAGCCAUGGGCAGGUUGAAGGUUGGGUAACACUAACUGGAGGACCGAACCGACUAAUGUUGAAAAAUUAGCGGAUGACUUGUGGCUGGGGGUGAAAGGCCAAUCAAACCGGGAGAUAGCUGGUUCUCCCCGAAAGCUAUUUAGGUAGCGCCUCGUGAAUUUAUCUUCGGGGGUAGAGCACUGUUUCGGCUAGGGGGCCACCCCGGCUUACCAACCCGAUGCAAACUGCGAAUACCGAAGAAUAUUAUCACGGGAGACACACGGCGGGUGCUAACGUCCGUCGUGAAGAGGGAAACAACCCAGACCGCCAGCUAAGGUCCCAAAGUCAUGGUUAAGUGGGAAACGAUGUGGGAAGGCAUAGACAGCCAGGAUGUUGGCUUAGAAGCAGCCAUCAUUUAAAGAAAGCGUAAUAGCUCACUGGUCGAGUCGGCCUGCGCGGAAGAUGUAACGGGGCUAAACCAUGCACCGAAGCUGCGGCAGCGACGCUUAUGCGUUGUUGGGUAGGGGAGCGUUCUGUAAGCCUGCGAAGGUGGACUGUGAGGUCUGCUGGAGGUAUCAGAAGUGCGAAUGCUGACAUAAGUAACGAUAAUGCGGGUGAAAAACCCGCACGCCGGAAGACCAAGGGUUCCUGUCCAACGUUAAUCGGGGCAGGGUGAGUCGACCCCUAAGGCGAGGCUGAAAAGCGUAGUCGAUGGGAAACAGGUUAAUAUUCCUGUACUUGGUGUUACUGCGAAGGGGGGACGGAGAAGGCUAGGCUGGCCAGGCGACGGUUGUCCUGGUUUAAGCGUGUAGGUGUGUCAACCCGGUAAAUCCGGUUGGCUUUAACACUGAGGCGUGAUGACGAACCACUACGGUGGUGAAGUAGCUGAUGCCCUGCUUCCAGGAAAAGCCUCUAAGCUCCAGGUAACACGAAAUCGUACCCCAAACCGACACAGGUGGUCAGGUAGAGAAUACUCAGGCGCUUGAGAGAACUCGGGUGAAGGAACUAGGCAAAAUGGUGCCGUAACUUCGGGAGAAGGCACGCUGGCAUGUAGGUGACGGGACUUGCUCCCUGAGCUGAAGCCAGUCGCAGAUACCAGCUGGCUGCAACUGUUUAAUAAAAACACAGCACUGUGCAAACACGAAAGUGGACGUAUACGGUGUGACGCCUGCCCGGUGCCGGAAGGUUAAUUGAUGGGGUUAGCGGCAACGCGAAGCUCUUGAUCGAAGCCCCGGUAAACGGCGGCCGUAACUAUAACGGUCCUAAGGUAGCGAAAUUCCUUGUCGGGUAAGUUCCGACCUGCACGAAUGGCGUAAUGAUGGCCAGGCUGUCUCCACCCGAGACUCAGUGAAAUUGAACUCGCUGUGAAGAUGCAGUGUACCCGCGGCAAGACGGAAAGACCCCGUGAACCUUUACUAUAGCUUGACACUGAACAUUGAGCCUUGAUGUGUAGGAUAGGUGGGAGGCUUUGAAGCGUGGACGCCAGUCUGCGUGGAGCCAUCCUUGAAAUACCACCCUUUAAUGUUUGAUGUUCUAACUCGG